GACGAACGCUGGCGGCGUGCUUAACACAUGCAAGUCGAACGGAAAGGCCCUGCUUUUGUGGGGUGCUCGAGUGGCGAACGGGUGAGUAACACGUGAGUAACCUGCCCUUGACUGUGGGAUAAAUUAAGGAAACUGGGGCUAAUACCGGAUAGGAGCUCCUGUUGCAUGGUGGGGGUUGGAAAGUUUCGGCGGUUGGGGAUGGACUCGCGGCGGAUCAGCUUGUUGGUGGGGUAGUGGCUUACCAAGGCUUUGACGGGUAGCCGGCCUGAGAGGGUGACCGGCCACAUUGGGACUGAGAUACGACCCAGACUCCUACGGGAGGCAGCAGUGGGGAAUAUUGCACAAUGGGCGGAAGCCUGAUGCAGCAACGCCGCGUGCGGGAUGACGGCCUUCGGGUUGUAAACCGCUUUCGCCUGUGACGAAGCGUGAGUGACGGUAAUGGGUAAAUAAGCACCGGCUAACUACGUG
This 468-nucleotide ribosomal RNA is filed under the name uncultured bacterium. Its description in RNAcentral is "partial 16S ribosomal RNA". It matches the Rfam family "Bacterial small subunit ribosomal RNA", at positions 28 to 507 of the family's 1533-position model. The record is from RNAcentral.